Molecule: non-coding RNA, 200 nt
Organism: Pelobates cultripes (western spadefoot toad)
Lineage: Eukaryota; Metazoa; Chordata; Amphibia; Anura; Pelobatidae
Source: the annotation of a GenBank genome assembly
UUGUUGCAGAGGAGGCCUGCAGCACACUCUCACUUCCCUUCCCAGCAGCUCCUGUCUCUAACUCUCGCGGCCUGCAUGCUGAGCGGAGUGUUACCAUGGUAACCCGUAGCGACGCUCUGACAGAUGCGGGGCGCGCAAGAUUUAGACAGGAGAGCUGCUGGGAAGGGAAGUGAGAGUGUGCUGCGGGCCUCCUCUGCAAC